This 721-nucleotide long non-coding RNA is filed under the name Mus musculus (house mouse). Its description in RNAcentral is "long non-coding RNA chr13:23582014-23582735". The record is from RNAcentral. Lineage: Eukaryota; Metazoa; Chordata; Mammalia; Rodentia; Muridae.
GGUGGGUGCUGGGACUGGCUCGAUACAUAGUAUCUGUUUAGGCAGGUCCACCUGUCUAUCUUCAGUAUUGAUAGCCUAAAAGCAGGCCUGUUGUCUCAUUCUUUAAUGCUGACAUUCUCAGGAGAGGGCUGAGGGUCAGUCAAGAUCCUUUUUUCCAAGUCCCUUAAGGUAUAGAUGCUAUCCUGUCUCAAAACCAAACCCUCUAAUCAAUCCAGGCCUUGGAAACCUAGGAACACUGAAUUAUGUUCAAGUUUUCUAACCUGGAGCUUUCUACAAUUUCUUCCCCUCCCUCCUUUCAUUCUUUCCAUGUAUUCUGUGUAAUAGCCCUGGCCUGGAACUUACUCUAUACACCAGGCUCACAGAUAUCUUCCUACCUCUGCCUCCCACGUACUGGGAUUAAAAUCGUGGUCCACCACACCCAGCUUUCUCUAACUUCCUAAUCUGUAAAAUAAGCACCAGAGAUUGACGUGUAAAUCUUCUAUCUAUUCCUCAAGGAAAACUUCAUAUGGUCCAGGACUUCAUUAACUUUCGUCAGCAUUAUCAGUUGUUCCCAAAGAGUCACCAGAGAAGAAACAUCAGUGUCUGCUAAGAACUUAAAAAAUUUUUUUUAUUUGUGUUUAUAUAUUUCUUACCUUUAUAUACACUUUAGGGACUAAACUCAGGCCACCAGGCACACGGAGCACAUGCUUUAGCUGUCCCUCCAGCCCUUCCCUCCAAGAAU